CAGCAGCCGCCGCGGUAAUACGUAGGUGGCAAGCGUUGUCCGGAAUUAUUGGGCGUAAAGGGCUCGCAGGCGGUUUCUUAAGUCUGAUGUGAAAGCCCCCGGCUCAACCGGGGAGGGUCAUUGGAAACUGGGAAACUUGAGUGCAGAAGAGGAGAGUGGAAUUCCAUGUGUAGCGGUGAAAUGCGUAGAUAUAUGGAGGAACACCAGUGGCGAAGGCGACUCUCUGGUCUGUAACUGACGCUGAGGCUCGAAAGCGUGGGGAGCAAACAGGAUUAGAUACCCCCGUAGUCCCUGUCUCUUAUAC
This 304-nucleotide ribosomal RNA is filed under the name uncultured bacterium. Its description in RNAcentral is "partial 16S ribosomal RNA". It matches the Rfam family "Bacterial small subunit ribosomal RNA", at positions 506 to 807 of the family's 1533-position model. The record is from RNAcentral.